Molecule: small RNA, 305 nt
Filed under: Ochotona princeps (American pika)
Lineage: Eukaryota; Metazoa; Chordata; Mammalia; Lagomorpha; Ochotonidae
Description: 7SK RNA (ENSOPRG00000022940.1)
Source: RNAcentral
AGAGCAAGGAGAAUGUGGUGACAACAGCUAUUAUCACCCUGAUCGCCAGGGUUGACUCGCUGCUCUGGCUGGCUGGUGGUACUCUUUGCUCCUUGACUGUUCUAUAUGUACCCCUCCUGAAGUUGUGCAUUGGAAGAAAAGGGUGUCUUUCCUGACAAUUAUGAAUGGAUUUAAAGGGAGAAAUAGACUUCAAUGCAAUAAUAGUGGGGACCUUAAGACCCCUUUAACAUCAGUGGGCAGAUUGACGAGACUGAAAGCAAAGAAACAACAGAACUCACCCAGACACUAGAGCAAAUGGACUUAGU